RNAcentral lists this ribosomal RNA (323 nucleotides) under uncultured prokaryote. RNAcentral describes it as "bacterial SSU rRNA". It matches the Rfam family "Bacterial small subunit ribosomal RNA", at positions 26 to 352 of the family's 1533-position model. The record is from RNAcentral.
AGGACGAACGCUGGCGGCGUGCCUAAUACAUGCAAGUCGAGCGGGUGACCUACGGGUCAUCAGCGGCGGACGGGUGAGUAACACGUGGGCAACCUGCCCUUCAGACUGGGAUAACGCCUGGAAACGGGUGCUAAUGCCAGAUAGGUUCUUCUUCCGCAUGGGGAGGAGAAGGAAAGGCGCUACGGCGCUACUGAGGGAUGGGCCCGCGGCGCAUUAGCUAGUUGGGGGGUAACGCUCACCAAGGCGACGAUGCGUAGCCGACCUGAGAGGGUGAUCGGCCACACUGGGACUGAGACACGGCCCAGACUCCUACGGGCGGCAGC